UAUUGGACAAUGGGCGAAAGCCUGAUCCAGCAAUGCCGCGUGAGUGAUGAAGGCCUUAGGGUUGUAAAGCUCUUUUACCCGGGAUGAUAAUGACAGUACCGGGAGAAUAAGCUCCGGCUAACUUCGUGCCAGCAGCCGCGGUAAUACGUAGGGUGCGAGCGUUAAUCGGAAUUACUGGGCGUAAAGCGUGCGCAGGCGGUUAUAUAAGACAGAUGUGAAAUCCCCGGGCUCAACCUGGGACCUGCAUUUGUGACUGUAUAGCUAGAGUACGGUAGAGGGGGAUGGAAUUCCGCGUGUAGCAGUGAAAUGCGUAGAUAUGCGGAGGAACACCGAUGGCGAAGGCAAUCCCCUGGACCUGUACUGACGCUCAUGCACGAAG
Molecule: ribosomal RNA, 379 nt
Filed under: uncultured bacterium
Lineage: Bacteria
Description: bacterial SSU rRNA
Rfam family: Bacterial small subunit ribosomal RNA
Source: RNAcentral